RNAcentral lists this long non-coding RNA (593 nucleotides) under Homo sapiens (human). Its description in RNAcentral is "HSALNT0385853". The record is from RNAcentral. Lineage: Eukaryota; Metazoa; Chordata; Mammalia; Primates; Hominidae.
GCCGGGCCCUGCUCGCCAACCCCGUGCUGGGCUGAUUGCCGAGGUAGAUGCCACCCACGCACCCCCGCGGCUGGGGAGCGCGAGCUGGAGGAUGCGGAGAGGCCUGAGGCAGGGGGGCCAGGCGCGCGCGCCCUAGGCAGUCUCAGAGGGGCCUGCUGAAGACUGAGGACGGAGGUGGGGGCAACAGGAUGGGGAGCCCGCAAUAGCCCAUCCUGACCUAAUCCGAAAGGACGAGAUCCUGGAGCCGCUCACAAAGUUUUCCGGGCCCCCUCCCACGCGUCGCCUGCACGUAUGUCCGUUUCCCGACGCUCCGCCCUCCCCCGCCAAGUUCGGCGUCUCCCAGCUCAGCGGCAGUCAGGGUGCAGAGGGAGCCCGACCUUGUCCCCGCCUCGGCCCGUCCCGCUUCUUCUGAAGCUUGUUUCAUUUUUAACUCCUUCCAGAAAAAUGUUGUUUUAAGGAAAAUCUCAAAGGAACAAAAAGCCAAUAGUGCCUUCCUUAUUUGCAAUCCCCACCCACCUCUGAGCUCGGACUGCAAGGGCCUCAAGGGACACCAGGUGACACCUGGGCCUUGCUUCUCACGGGUGACCUUGGAC